AACGAACGCUGGCGGCGUGCCUAACACAUGCAAGUCGAACGGAAUUGGAGAGCUUGCUUUUCAAUUUAGUGGCGCACGGGUGAGUAACGCGUAGAUAAUCUGCCUGAUGAUCUGGGAUAACACUUCGAAAGAGGUGCUAAUACCGGAUAAGCCCACGGUGUCUUUGGACACUGCGGGAAAAGGGGGGACCUUCGGGCCUUCUGUCAUCAGAUGAGUCUGCGUACCAUUAGCUAGUUGGUAGGGUAAUGGCCUACCAAGGCUACGAUGGUUAGCUGGUCUGAGAGGAUGAUCAGCCACACUGGAACUGAGACACGGUCCAGACUCCUACGGGAGGCAG
Molecule: ribosomal RNA, 337 nt
Filed under: uncultured Pseudomonadota bacterium
Lineage: Bacteria; Pseudomonadati; Pseudomonadota
Description: bacterial SSU rRNA
Rfam family: Bacterial small subunit ribosomal RNA
Source: RNAcentral